This 484-nucleotide ribosomal RNA is filed under the name uncultured bacterium. RNAcentral's name for it is "partial 16S ribosomal RNA". It matches the Rfam family "Bacterial small subunit ribosomal RNA", at positions 28 to 523 of the family's 1533-position model. The record is from RNAcentral.
GACGAACGCUGGCGGCGUGCUUAACACAUGCAAGUCGAACGAUGAAGCCGGAGCUUGCUCCGGCGGAUUAGUGGCGAACGGGUGAGUAACACGUGAGUAACCUGCCCUUGACUCUGGGAUAAGCGUUGGAAACGACGUCUAAUACCGGAUACGAACCGCGACGGCAUCGUCUGCGGUUGGAAAGAAUUUCGGUCAAGGAUGGACUCGCGGCCUAUCAGCUUGUUGGUGAGGUAAUGGCUCACCAAGGCGACGACGGGUAGCCGGCCUGAGAGGGUGACCGGCCACACUGGAACUGAGACACGGUCCAGACUCCUACGGGAGGCAGCAGUGGGGAAUAUUGCACAAUGGGCGAAAGCCUGAUGCAGCAACGCCGCGUGAGGGAUGACGGCCUUCGGGUUGUAAACCUCUUUUAGCAGGGAAGAAGCGAAAGUGUCGGUACCUGCAGAAAAAGCACCGGCUAACUACGUGCCAGCCGCCGCCGUAA